AAGCACUUGGCCGAGAUCGUGAGUUUUUUAACAAAUGACCUCAAAUCAGGCAAGAAUACCCGCUGAAUUAAGCAUAUCAAUAAGCGGAGGAAAAGAAACUAACAAGGAUUCCCCUAGUAACGGCGAGUGAAGAGGGAAGAGCUCAAAUUUUAAAUCUGCCUUGUUCCAAGGUCGAGUUGUAAUUUGAAGAAGCGUUUUCUUGGGCUCGCGGCCGGUAGAAGUUCUUUGGAACAGGACAUCAUAGAGGGUGACAAUCCCGUCCGUGACCGGUCGUGCGUUCAUCUACGAUACGCUUUCAAAGAGUCGAGUUGUUUGGGAUUGCAACUCCAAACGGGUGGUAAACAUCACCUAAGGCUAAAUAUUGGCGAGAGACCGAUAGCGAACAAGUACCGUGAGGGAAAGAUGAAAAGAACUUUGAAAAGAGAGUUAAACAGUACGUGAAAUUGUUGAAAGGGAAACGAUUGAAGUCAGUCGUGCUGGCGCGAAAUCAACCCUCUCGUCUUGAGAUCACAUGGCGCGACGAGCCUCAAAACCGUCACGAAGCGUGAACUCUUGACGAAAAGGUGCACUUUCGUGUCCGCUGGUUAACAUCAAUUUCGAACGUCAUAAAAAGGCUGGAGGGAUGUGGCUCCUUCGGGAGUGUUAUAACCUUUAGCGGAAUGUGGCGUUCGGGAUUGAGGAUUGCAACGAAUACCUUCAGGGCUGUUCCACCUGGCUUCUCAUUGGUAUCCUGGUGACGACAGCUUGCUGACGUCGUUAGGAUCAGCUUCUGAACAGGCUAGAGUGUGAGCAAAUUCGUUAAGGAUGUUAACGUAAUGGCUUUAAACGACC
This 831-nucleotide ribosomal RNA is filed under the name Entrophospora etunicata. Its description in RNAcentral is "eukaryotic LSU rRNA". It matches the Rfam family "Eukaryotic large subunit ribosomal RNA", at positions 1 to 649 of the family's 3401-position model. Lineage: Eukaryota; Fungi; Glomeromycota; Glomeromycetes; Entrophosporales; Entrophosporaceae. The record is from RNAcentral.